UCGGGAAUUUUGGGCAAUGGGCGAAAGCCUGACCCAGCAACGCCGCGUGAAGGAUGAAGUAUUUCGGUAUGUAAACUUCGAAAGAAUAGGAAGAAUAAAUGACGGUACUAUUUAUAAGGUCCGGCUAACUACGUGCCAGCAGCCGCGGUAAUACGUAGGGACCAAGCGUUGUUCGGAUUUACUGGGCGUAAAGGGCUCGUAGGCGGCCAACUAAGUCAGACGUGAAAUCCCUCGGCUUAACCGGGGAACUGCGUCUGAUACUGGAUGGCUUGAGGUUGGGAGAGGGAUGCGGAAUUCCAGGUGUAGCGGUGAAAUGCGUAGAUAUCUGGAGGAACACCGGUGGCGAAGGCGACAUCCUGGACCAAUUCUGACGCUGAGGAGCGAAAGCCAGGGGAGCAAACAGGAUUAGAUACCCCAGUAGUCCCUGAGCGGGCUGGCAAGGCGCAU
Molecule: ribosomal RNA, 447 nt
Filed under: uncultured bacterium
Lineage: Bacteria
Description: bacterial SSU rRNA
Rfam family: Bacterial small subunit ribosomal RNA
Source: RNAcentral